RNAcentral lists this ribosomal RNA (996 nucleotides) under Enterococcus faecium. RNAcentral's name for it is "partial 23S ribosomal RNA". It matches the Rfam family "Bacterial large subunit ribosomal RNA", at positions 153 to 1150 of the family's 2925-position model. The record is from RNAcentral. Lineage: Bacteria; Bacillati; Bacillota; Bacilli; Lactobacillales; Enterococcaceae.
AUUGUGUGAAUACAUAGCACAUUCGAGGUAGACGCAGAGAACUGAAACAUCUAAGUACCUGCAGGAAGAGAAAGAAAAUUCGAUUCCCUGAGUAGCGGCGAGCGAAACGGGAAAAGCCCAAACCAGCAAGCUUGCUUGUUGGGGUUGUAGGACUCCAAUAUGGUAGUUCUUUCAGAUAGUCGAAUGACUUGGAAAAGUCAGUCAAAGAGGGUAAAAACCCCGUAGACGAAAUGUGGAAGACACCUAGGAGGAUCCUGAGUACGGCGGAACACGAGAAAUUCCGUCGGAAUCCGGGAGGACCAUCUCCCAAGGCUAAAUACUCCCUAGUGACCGAUAGUGAACCAGUACCGUGAGGGAAAGGUGAAAAGCACCCCGGAAGGGGAGUGAAAUAGAACCUGAAACCGUGUGCCUACAACAAGUCAAAGCCCGUUAAUGGGUGAUGGCGUGCCUUUUGUAGAAUGAACCGGCGAGUUACGAUUGCAUGCGAGGUUAAGUUGAAGAGACGGAGCCGCAGCGAAAGCGAGUCUGAAUAGGGCGUUUGAGUAUGUAGUCGUAGACCCGAAACCAUGUGAUCUACCCAUGUCCAGGUUGAAGGUGCGGUAAAACGCACUGGAGGACCGAACCCACGUACGUUGAAAAGUGCGGGGAUGAGGUGUGGGUAGCGGAGAAAUUCCAAACGAACUUGGAGAUAGCUGGUUCUCUCCGAAAUAGCUUUAGGGCUAGCCUCGGAAUUGAGAAUGAUGGAGGUAGAGCACUGUUUGGACUAGGGGCCCAUCUCGGGUUACCGAAUUCAGAUAAACUCCGAAUGCCAUUCAUUCAUAUCCGGGAGUCAGACUGUGAGUGAUAAGAUCCAUAGUCGAAAGGGAAACAGCCCAGACCACCAGCUAAGGUCCCAAAAUAUAUGUUAAGUGGAAAAGGAUGUGGGGUUGCACAGACAACUAGGAUGUUGGCUUAGAAGCAGCCACCAUUUAAAGAGUGCGUAAUAGCUCACUAGUC